Molecule: long non-coding RNA, 1097 nt
Organism: Osmia bicornis bicornis
Lineage: Eukaryota; Metazoa; Arthropoda; Insecta; Hymenoptera; Megachilidae
Exons: 3
Source: RefSeq, a predicted model, not a curated record
ACUUUGUUUAUUGAAAAGAAUUUAGACAAUUUAUAAAUCCAGGCGUAAUAGAAUUUUGAACAAUUUUUAGCAUGCUUACAAUUUUAACAACAGAAAUCCUCUACUUUAAUAAAAUGGUAUAUUAUAUUUAUUUAACAAUGACUUUCUAUUCUUGUAAUAUUCAUUGAAAUAAUUAUCACCAAGUAUUUAAAACAUUUCAUUAUUGCGAUAUAAUCUAGGAUCAAUAUUCAAUUUGAAUAAUAUUCGUAUUCGUUGAGAAUAUUUCAUGAACAGGAAUAUUUCCAUUUACCAAUAAUAACAGUAUUUCAUUAACCAACGCUCAAUAAGAGGAAUGUUUGUGUUGUAUAUUUCCACCCAUCCCCAACCUCCUCACUAAUCUUUUCUUCCAGGAAUUGUUGUGGCCGCGCGCAAGGCGGUCGGUAGAGCCAGUGUUUGUACGAACAUAUUUCCAAUGUUUUGAUUUUUUCAAGGGUGAACUGGCCCUGAACAGAGUUGCGUUUGUACAAUUAGGAAUCACGCGAUAGUAGAGUCAGUGUUUGCUGCGUAUUAUAAAAUAUUUUCUAGAGCAUCGCGGCUCUGAUUUUUCUUUUUUCAUCGCGAAAGUAGAGUCACUACAAUUGUUCGCCGAAAAUUAUUCACGGGCGCGUUACUAGUAUUUCAUAUCUUUAUUUUUAUUUUUAAUUUUGUUUUUUAAUUGCUCGAUAUAUCCGGUAUUAGAGUCAGUGCACCACUGAAGAGGAGUCUUGGGCGUUGCUCCAUGAGGAAAGAGUAUGAAUUUUUUGAUUUUGCCGAGUUCCUGGAUAUCCUGAUGAUGGCUUUCUUCACGACUUCCGUCUUGAUGAAUCUUCUCCUACAAGCCAGCCGCCUACCUGGUGUUGUCCAUCCUCCUACUUGACUGUCGGAAGAAGAGUAUAUCUGCGAACGGUGAGUCGCAUGUUUUAUGGUUCCUCUGGUGCCCAAACAUGUCGUAGGACGAAUGGUCCGAAUCGACACGGGCUACUAGUUGUAUACAUGCUUGGCAAGCAUAGUGACCAUGGGUAUUAUUAUACCCAUGAGUAGUAACAUUUUUAUUGUUUCAUUUCAUUUAGCUUAGGCUA